GCCAGCAUGGUGUAGUGGUUUGAGCAUUGGACUAUGACUCUGGAGACCAGGGUUCGAAUCCCAGAUUGGCC
Molecule: transfer RNA, 71 nt
Filed under: Phrynosoma platyrhinos (Desert horned lizard)
Lineage: Eukaryota; Metazoa; Chordata; Lepidosauria; Squamata; Phrynosomatidae
Description: tRNA-OTHER
Source: RNAcentral